This is a long non-coding RNA of Melanotaenia boesemani (Boeseman's rainbowfish), 134 nucleotides long. RefSeq lists it as uncharacterized. Lineage: Eukaryota; Metazoa; Chordata; Actinopteri; Atheriniformes; Melanotaeniidae. The transcript has 5 exons. The record is from RefSeq and is a predicted model, not a curated record.
UCCACAGAGAUAGCAGUUGUUAGCUUAGCUUACAUAUCGGUCUACAGCAACAAAAGUUAGCUUACACCACAACAAGCUAAGCUGCUAAAGGACGCUCCUCUGCAUUUGCUGCACAAAGGGUCUAAUCGGACUUA